This 366-nucleotide ribosomal RNA is filed under the name Enterococcus columbae. RNAcentral describes it as "bacterial SSU rRNA". It matches the Rfam family "Bacterial small subunit ribosomal RNA", at positions 986 to 1353 of the family's 1533-position model. The record is from RNAcentral. Lineage: Bacteria; Bacillati; Bacillota; Bacilli; Lactobacillales; Enterococcaceae.
AUCCUUUGACCAUCCUAGAGAUAGGACUUUCCCUUCGGGGACAAAGUGACAGGUGGUGCAUGGUUGUCGUCAGCUCGUGUCGUGAGAUGUUGGGUUAAGUCCCGCAACGAGCGCAACCCUUAUUGUUAGUUGCCAUCAUUCAGUUGGGCACUCUAGCGAGACUGCCGCAGACAAUGCGGAGGAAGGUGGGGAUGACGUCAAAUCAUCAUGCCCCUUAUGACCUGGGCUACACACGUGCUACAAUGGAGAGUACAACGAGUUGCGAAGUCGUGAGGCUAAGCUAAUCUCUUAAAGCUCUUCUCAGUUCGGAUUGUAGGCUGCAACUCGCCUACAUGAAGCCGGAAUCGCUAGUAAUCGCGGAUCAGC